UUGACGAUCCUUUACCCACUGGCCAUGUUCUUCAUUCUAAUACUCUUCCAUUGGAGUGGUCCUACUAGCUAGCACGGUGCACUGGACACAAUGGACCAACACUCUGACUCAGGGGAAAGGUACAGGGACACCUCAACGAAUUGUGUAACUCUGAUGUCACUCAGUCCAGUGUCUAGUACCGUUUCAGCUCAGAUUGAGAACAUACUCCAUGACUCUGUGCACGACAUGCUACGUGGGUGAACUGCAACAAGUCACAAACGUGGGAGAAAGGGGAUCUUUUAGCCUCGAUCUCAGGCCGCACUGAAGAUGAGGUUGAUGAGGCCAUACCACUAUCUAUGAUGAGGCCUAGCAUAUGCCAUUACCUACUCAGCGUGAAUGUGAUCUGCUGCCAGCAUGUGCCAGUCCAGUGGCUGUGCUAUAGGAUAAGAAUGGAUGAAUGCAUGAAAGGAUGGAGGUGAGGGGAGAUGCUUUGUAGAGACGGCACCUGUUGUAGGCUACUGAUAAUAAUCACGAGGUUCAUUGUUUUGUUCGCUUGCCCAUGUGUUAGACCUUAUUGGUGGAGGGAGGUCAAUAUUGAGCAACCAUAGCUGGCAUGGGCUCAGAGAUUUCAUUUGUGGUGGUAUUUUACACUACAGUAUGGUGUAAUUAUUUAUCCAUGUAUGGACAUGUGGCAGUACUAUUGGAGGUGACCUUUCACUAAUCAUGACCUUUCAAUGACAUUCUACCAAAUUGCUUUGUUUACUGUGAAAGGGGUGGAAUGUGACACCUCUCUGAAAAGGGGGAGGAUCUGUGCAAUGAUUAUGUUUACUGAGAAACAAGGAAAGGGGCGAAAUUUCCUCUUUAUGUGUGAAACACGUUUGCUAGUAAUACUCAUUUGAAAGCUCUCAAUGAGACGAAUGUAAUGGUACCCAUAUUAUCAUCACACUCUUACA
Molecule: long non-coding RNA, 932 nt
Organism: Halichondria panicea
Lineage: Eukaryota; Metazoa; Porifera; Demospongiae; Suberitida; Halichondriidae
Exons: 3
Source: RefSeq, a predicted model, not a curated record